CCUACGGGUGGCAGCAGUGAGGGAUAUUGGUCAAUGGGGGAAACCCUGAACCAGCAACGCCGCGUGAGGGAAGACGGUUUUCGGAUUGUAAACCUCUGUCCUCUGUGAAGAUAAUGACGGUAGCAGAGGAGGAAGCUCCGGCUAACUACGUGCCAGCAGCCGCGGUAAUACGUAGGGAGCAAGCGUUGGGCGGAUUUACUGGGUGUAAAGGGUGCGUAGGCGGCCUUGCAAGUCAGAAGUGAAAUCCAUGGGCUUAACCCGUGAACUGCUUUUGAUACUGGAGGGCUUGAGUGAAGUAGAGGCAGGCGGAAUUCCAGGUGUAGCGGUGAAAUGCGUAGAGAUGUGGAGGAAUACCAGAGGCGAAGGCAGCCUGCUGGGCAUGUACUGACGCUGAAGUGCGAAAGCGUGGGUAGCAAACAGGAUUAGAUACCCCAGUAGUC
Molecule: ribosomal RNA, 440 nt
Filed under: uncultured bacterium
Lineage: Bacteria
Description: partial 16S ribosomal RNA
Rfam family: Bacterial small subunit ribosomal RNA
Source: RNAcentral